CCGAGGUAGGAGUCGCGUUGGCAAAUCCGCGUGACAAUCCGAAGACGUGAUGCAUACCGAACAAAAGUAGGGAAAUGUGUGAGCCAGCUGCCAAGAAAAGCCGCUAUUGUUUGUACUGUACCCGUACCGUAAACCGACACAGGUAGGUGAGGAGAGAAUCCUAAGGCCGACGGGAGAAGCAUUGUUAAGGAACUCGGCAAAAUGACUCCGUAACUUCGGGAGAAGGAGUGCCAGUGAGAGCUGGCCGCAGAGAAUUGGCCCAAGCAACUGUUUAGCAAAAACACAGGUCUAUGCAAAACCGUAAGGUGAAGUAUAUGGGCUGACGCCUGCCCGGUGCUGGAAGGUUAAGGGGAGAGGUUAGCGCAAGCGAAGCUUUGAACUUAAGCCCCAGUAAACGGCGGCCGUAACAAUAACGGUCCUAAGGUAGCGAAAUUCCUUGUCGGGUAAGUUCCGACCCGCACGAAAGGCGUAAUGAUAUGGGCACUGUCUCAACAAUGCACCCGGUGAAAUUGAAAUACCAGUGAAGAUGCUGGUUACCUGCGCCAGGACGGAAAGACCCCAUGGAGCUUUACUCCAGCUUGAUACUGGGAUUCGAUAUUGUAUGUACAGGAUAGGUGGGAGGCGAAGAAGCAUUGACGCCAGUUGAUGCGGAGCCGCCGUUGGGAUACCACCCUUGCAGUAUUGGAUUUCUAACCAGCAGCCGUGACCCGGCUGGGGGACAAUGUCAGGUGGGGAGUUUGACUGGGGCGGUCGCCUCCGAAAGGGUAUCGGAGGCGCUCAAAGGUUCCCUCAGAAUGGUUGGAAACCAUUCGAAGAGUGCAAAGGCAGAAGGGAGCUUGACUGCGACACCGACGGGUGGAGCAGGUACGAAAGUAGGACUUAGUGAUCCGGUGGUAUAAAGUGGGAUUGCCAUCGCUCAACGGAUAAAAGCUACCCUGGGAUAACAGGCUUAUCACUCCCAAGAGUUCACAUCGACGGAGUGGUUUGGCACCUCGAUGUCGGCUCAUCGCAUCCUGGGGCUGAAGUAGGUCCCAAGGGUUGGGCUGUUCGCCCAUUAAAGCGGUACGCGAGCUGGGUUCAGAACGUCGUGAGACAGUUCGGUCCCUAUCCGGCGUGGGCGUAGGAUAUUUGAGAGGAGCUGGCCUUAGUACGAGAGGACCGGGCUGGACUGACCGCUGGUGUAUCUGUUGUUCCGCCAGGAGCAUGGCAGAGUAGCCAAGUCAGGAAGGGAUAAACGCUGAAGGCAUCUAAGCGUGAAGCCCCCCUCAAGAUGAGAUAUCCCAACGCAAGUUGUAAGACCCCUUGAAGACGACAAGGUAGAUAGGGCAGAGGUGGAAGUGCAGUAAUGCAUGGAGCUGACUGUUACUAAUCGGUCGAGGGCAUAACCGA
This 1389-nucleotide ribosomal RNA is filed under the name metagenome. Its description in RNAcentral is "bacterial LSU rRNA". It matches the Rfam family "Bacterial large subunit ribosomal RNA", at positions 1516 to 2925 of the family's 2925-position model. The record is from RNAcentral.